CCUUACUUCCGGUCCAGGUGUAUCGAUAUAUUAUGCGUGUAUUCACGUUUGGAACGGCACAUUUCAAACCAAUUUAAAAGGUUCUACUUAACAUGGUUCGAGCACUAAGAUCUCAGCUUGCUUUUUGACUGCAAAAGGGAUCUUGACUCAAAAAAGGUCCUCACAGUAUAUGAAGGACAAGUUUGAGUCCCAUGAUGCCAAAAUCUCGCUUCACCAGGAAUGCUUUUUCAACAGUCUUGAAUGAGUAACCACAUAUGCUGAGAACUUGUUGGCUGCUUUUCCUUCACUCUGCGGUCCAACUCAUCCCAAACCAUCUCAAUUGGGUUGAGGUCGGGUGAUUGUGGAGGCCAUGUCAUCUGAUGCAGCACUCCAUCACUCUCCUUCUUACACAGCCUGGAGGUGUGUUGGGUCAUUGUCCUGUUGAAAAACAAAUGAUAGUCCCACUAAGCGCAAACCGGAUGGGAUGGCGUAUCGCUGCAGAAUGCUGUGGUAGCCAUGCUGGUUAAGUGUGCCUUCAAAUCUAAAUAAACCACAAACAUUGUCACCAGCAAAGCAGCCCCACACAAUCACACCUCUCAAUGCUUCAAGGAAGAAGAUGUUUUCUGAUUAUGUGGGAAAGGGAAAAUCUCAGCAAGAAGUGGAGGCAGAGGAUGAAGAAGCUAAGAAUAUUCAGAGACAAUUGGCUGUCUAUCUUAGUGAGGAGGACUAUGAUCUAAACCUUCUUCAGAGUUUGCUGUAGAGAAUGGUGUGGAGAGGGAGAGGAUUGUUAAGGACCUGAAGCAGAUGUCCCAGGAGAGAAUUAGCUGCUGAGGAAGGAAUCACCAGAGCUAUCGGAGCUCAUUCAGGACUUGAAGUCCAAGAGCUGAAUGACGAGCUACAGGCCCUUUUGGAAAUGGUCAAAGAUGGACGCAUCCCACCGGGAAAGGGUGCCAACUACCUUAAGACCAAACAGCAGCUUUAUCUAAAUUAAGUAUAUAUUUGAUUUGUAACAUAAAUUGCAUAAACAAUGCCAUUGAGAAUGGACUCACUUAUUGUUGUUUCUCUCCUGAGUUACUGCACAAACAUCAGUUUCUACCUCAUCCUGAAAGCAAAGCAUAUUCCCGCACACAACCACCCAGUGAUUGAAAGACUGCUUAUUUACAGGAAUGUGAGUAGAUGCAUUGUCAUUUUGCUUAUGAUUGAUAAAAUGUUCAGGCCUAUAUCAAUGUUUCUUGGUCGCAUACACAGAUUUGCAGGUGCAGUGUUUCUAGCUCCAACAGUACAGGAAUACCUAGCAAUAAAAAAAACUAUACACAAAAUCCAGAUUCGUAUUAUAUCAGAACAAGCAAUGCCAAAGACUGAAAUAUAAAUACUCUGUGGCCAGUUUAUUAGAUACACCCAUCUAGUACUGGGUCGGACCAAGCGGUGCCUCCAGAACAGCCUGAAUUCUCAGGGGCAUGGAAACAUGUUCAAUUGGUAUCAAGGGACCUAACGUGUGCCAGGAAAAUAUUUCCCACACUACCGCCACCAGCCUGUAAGAUUCUUGCCAUUCUCCUUCGACCUCUCAUCAGCGAGCUGUUUUCGCACACACGACUGCCACUGGCCGGAUGUUUUUGUGUUUGCUGCACCAUUCUCUGUAAACCCUAGACACUGUUGUGUGUGAAAAUCCCCCGAAGGCUGGCCGUUUCUGAGAUACAGACGAUCAUACCACGCUCAAAGUUGCUUCUGUCACUGGUUUUGCCCAUUUUAAUGUUCAUUCGAACAGUAACUGAAUGCUUCGAUGCCUGUCUGCCUGCUUUGUAUAGCAAUCCACGGCCAGCAGUCUUUCAACUGUCUGGAGGAGCGAAUCAUUUUUGGGAACAGGGUGGUGUACCUAAUAAACUGGCAGUUGAGUGUAUAUACAUGGAAUGUAGUCAACAUAUACAGUGCUUGUCAUAUAGUUAGUAUGAGUCAGAUUGUGUCCUAUAAUAAUUGGGUCCUCUGACUGUCCCUGCAGCUGAUAAAUGACAUGGGUGAGGUAGAUGCUUGGCUUGCCCCACAGCUGCGCCAGUUGCUCUCUGCAGGCCAGAAUGAGAUGGCUGCUAUGAAGCCAGGGAGUAGCAAGCAGAUCACCAACAACGUGAGAAAUGAGUAUGAUGGUGAUCCAUUGGGUGAUGUUGGCAUACUUCAGGAUUUUGGCAACGAGGCCCUUUAUCUACUUCAGUCAGAUGAACUCAUGUUUACCAUUUUUGUGUCUGAGUGCAGUUUGAGUGAAGUUGCUAACUGGUGUUAGCACAAUGACUGGAAGUCUGAGUAUCUGUUAGUGUGCUAGUAGAUACCCAUGGACUUCAUUGUGCUUAUGCUUGUUAGGUGGUUCCAUGAGCCACUGCUAACUUCCUUCAUACUGUACACUGAGACAUAGCAUUUCUAUCUAUGAUUUAAUUUGACUCUGGGGAAGUAGAUAAAUGGUCUCAUUGCCAAAAUCCCAAAGUAUCCCUUUAAAGGUAUACUCAGCAAUAUGAUGAAGAUGCACAAAGUAAGCAUUGAAGCGUGCGGCUAAACUUCUCAGCUGUUUUGGUCCUAUUGCUACCACGCAGACCCAUGCACAGAUACUGUGUGAGAGGGAUAUCACACUCAUCGCAAUAUCUGAAGUGCUGCUCGUGGCAAUGUAAGUUUGCUGAGUCUACAUCUAAGCUGGAUUGGUCCCUAUGUUGUCAGAUGUCUGAAGAGGCUGGGGCUGAACCAUCAUACUGACUUGGAUGAAGAGGCUGCCCUGCACUUCUACAGAGGAAUGGAGAGGCUGAAACUGAAUAGGACCUACAGGCUGAGGUGAAGGAUGAAGAGGAGUUGGAUCCAGAUACCAAGAGAUGCAUUACCCACCAGAACCAAGGGUUUACACCGAAGAGGAAGACUGACCGCAAUCCCAGAGUCAAACAGAGAAUUUCAGACGAGCCAAGACCGCAUAAAGGGACCAGUUUGUAGACUACAUUUGAAACUUGAAGUUGCAGUGUAUAAAAUGUAUACAAAUCCAAUGUAUGAGAAGUGUUUUGCAGGCAUUACUUACACCUCCUGCAGGCACAUCUUUCAGGACCUCUGAGGGGUAUACUCCAAAGCAGAACCAAUGAGUUAGCCAGCUUACUUUGAUUAACAACCAGAAAUAACUGUUGAUUUUCUGAAUCAUUUAGAAAAAUAAACUAAGGUUGAGUUAAUUAGACCAUAGCCCAAUUCAAGCUUAGUUAUUUAUUAGUUCAGAAUAUUGAGGCAAGUUAUCUGGCUAACUCCUUGAUCCUGCUUUGUAGUGUGUAUGCUGAUAUGAUAUACAGUAUUUGAUAGCAAAAUUGACAACUUGUAUAAUUUAACUAGUGUCAAUUAUGGAUCAAAUUGAAUUCCAAGUGUAUUUAAAAAAAAAACCUACAUUAAAAUCUUGAAUGUAUUCCAGGUUCGUGAAGUCUGUUGUGAGGAGACAAGAUACAGUGGAGAGCUGUCUGGUAUUCGUGCUGGACUUCAUAUCAAACUCAUAACCAAGUAAAUUACACAAUCACUGAUAGCUAGCUGUAUGGGGUGUCAUGCCUUCAAGGAAGACUGUUCCCUCUGUGGAGUAGAUUUGUGAUUUGACCAGCACAUAAAAUACCAAAAUACAGUUAAGGUUUAAUGUUCCGAGUCUGUUACUUUACUGAUGUACUCUGUCUGUGAUAUUACUCUGACAAACUGCUAUGAGGUUAAGUCAAUUCAUUGGUUGGCAUUAU
Oncorhynchus kisutch (coho salmon) is the source of this 3704-nucleotide long non-coding RNA. RefSeq lists it as uncharacterized. The record is from RefSeq and is a predicted model, not a curated record. The transcript has 10 exons. Lineage: Eukaryota; Metazoa; Chordata; Actinopteri; Salmoniformes; Salmonidae.